ACCUCGAGCCCCACGCACCCCACGCACCUUUCUUUCCCGAGCACGCAACCUCUCCUUCCCUCUCCAGAAAAACACCAUCCUUCGACCUGGAUCGGCUCAUGUGACCGUCGGGCCUUGUCGCCACCGACGCCGACGCCUGCAAACGGCGGCAGGCUGGAUCUUGAUGGCGUGCUCGUAGCGCUGCCCACCAUCUGCGUGAUCUGGGCCGACGGGUUCAUCUCCUCCCACCUCUGUGAGAAUCUCAUGGCCGAGACCCCGCACUCCGUCCUCAUCGUCGACCACCUCGUCGACCCACCCCCGCCCCACGUCGCCGGCUGCAUCUCCUUCCGCUGCCUCAACGUCAUGAACAACUCCCGCCUGGAGGGCCUCAUCAAGACGUCCGAUCUGACGUUGGUAGUACAAGGAAAGAAGUACAGCAUCAGGCUGCAGAAAUAUCUUUAA
This 441-nucleotide ribosomal RNA is filed under the name Triticum aestivum (bread wheat). RNAcentral describes it as "partial small subunit ribosomal RNA". The record is from RNAcentral. Lineage: Eukaryota; Viridiplantae; Streptophyta; Magnoliopsida; Poales; Poaceae.